RNAcentral lists this ribosomal RNA (967 nucleotides) under uncultured bacterium. Its description in RNAcentral is "bacterial SSU rRNA". It matches the Rfam family "Bacterial small subunit ribosomal RNA", at positions 536 to 1501 of the family's 1533-position model. The record is from RNAcentral.
AGCGGUUUUCCGGAUAUUGGGCGUAAGAGCUCGUAGGCGGUUUGUCGCGUCUGCCGUGAAAGUCCGGGGCUCAACUCCGGAUCUGCGGUGGGUACGGGCAGACUAGAGUGAUGUAGGGGAGACUGGAAUUCCUGGUGUAGCGGUGAAAUGCGCAGAUAUCAGGAGGAACACCGAUGGCGAAGGCAGGUCUCUGGGCAUUAACUGACGCUGAGGAGCGAAAGCAUGGGGAGCGAACAGGAUUAGAUACCCUGGUAGUCCAUGCCGUAAACGUUGGGCGCUAGGUGUGGGGAACCUUCCACGUUCUCCGUGCCGUAGCUAACGCAUUAAGCGCCCCGCCUGGGGAGUACGGCCGCAAGGCUAAAACUCAAAGGAAUUGACGGGGCCCCGCACAAGCGGCGGAGCAUGUUGCUUAAUUCGAUGCAACGCGAAGAACCUUACCUGGGUUUGAACUGCUGGAGACAUCCUCAGAGAUGAGGCUUUCCCUUCGGGGACCCCAGCAGAGGUGCUGCAUGGCUGUCGUCAGCUCGUGCCGUGAGGUGUUGGGUUAAGUCCCGCAACGAGCGCAACCCCUGCCCCUAGUUGCCAGCGGUUCGGCCGGGGACUCUAGGGGGACUGCCGGUGACAAACCGGAGGAAGGUGGGGAUGACGUCAAGUCAUCAUGGCCUCUAUGUCCAGGGCUACACACGUACUACAAUGGUCGGUACAAAGGGCUGCAAACCCGCGAGGGGGAGCUAAUCCCAAAAAGCCGGCCUCAGUUCGGAUUGGGGUCUGCAACUCGACCCCGUGAAGUUGGAGUCGCUAGUAAUCGCAGAUCAGCAUUGCUGCGGUGAAUACGUUCCCGGGGCUUGUACACACCGCCCGUCACACCACGAAAGUGGGCAACACCCGAAGCCGGUGGCCUAACCCUUGUGGAGGGAGCCGUCGAAGGUGGGGCUCGCGAUUGGGGUGAAGUCGUAACAAGGUAACC